This 424-nucleotide ribosomal RNA is filed under the name uncultured prokaryote. Its description in RNAcentral is "bacterial SSU rRNA". It matches the Rfam family "Bacterial small subunit ribosomal RNA", at positions 355 to 774 of the family's 1533-position model. The record is from RNAcentral.
UCGAGGAUCUUCGGCAAUGGGCGCAAGCCUGACCGAGCGACGCCGCGUGCGGGAUGAAGGCCUUCGGGUUGUAAACCGCUGUCAGAGGGGAUGAAGUUCUAGGGGGUUCUCCCCCUGGUUUGACAUAUCCUCAGAGGAAGUACGGGCUAAGUUCGUGCCAGCAGCCGCGGUAAGACGAACCGUACAAACGUUAUUCGGAAUCACUGGGCUUAAAGGGUGCGUAGGCGGUCCGGUAAGUUGGGUGUGAAAUACCUCGGCUCAACCGAGGAAUUGCGCCCAAAACUGUCGGACUCGAGGAAGAUAGAGGUGAGCGGAACUUAGGGUGGAGCGGUGAAAUGCGUUGAUAUCCUAAGGAACACCAGUGGCGAAAGCGGCUCACUGGAUCUUUUCUGACGCUGAGGCACGAAAGCUAGGGGAGCGAAGA